This 324-nucleotide ribosomal RNA is filed under the name Cercomonas sp. RNAcentral's name for it is "SSU rRNA". The stretch from base 109 to 324 matches the Rfam family "Eukaryotic small subunit ribosomal RNA", at positions 738 to 955 of the family's 1831-position model. Lineage: Eukaryota; Cercozoa; Cercomonadida; Cercomonadidae. The record is from RNAcentral.
GAUUUCUGGUUCGGCGCACUUGGCCCGUCUCGGUUUACGGGAUUGCGUGCCGGUGUGCGCCAUCCAUCCUUCGGGAAAUACACAGCUACCCUUCACUGGGCCGGUUGUGCUAUCCCGAUCUUUUACUUUGAAAAAAUUAGAGUGUUUAAAGCAGGCUUACGCUAUGAAUACAUUAGCAUGGAAUAAUAAUAUAGGACUUUGGUUCUAUUUUGUUGGUUUCUAGGACUGAAGUAAUGAUUGAUAGGGAUAGUUGGGGGUGCUAGUAUUCAGUGGCCAGAGGUGAAAUUCUUGGAUUCACUGAAGACUAACUACUGCGAAAGCAUU